GACAGAGGGUGCUAGCGUUGUUCGGAAUUACUGGGCGUAAAGCGCGCGCAGGCGGCUUGGUAAGUCAGAAGUGAAAUGUCACUGCUCAACGGUGGCGCUGCUUCUGAGACUGUCAGGCUAGGGAUCGGUAGAGGCUGGUAGAAUUGCAGGUGUAGCGGUGGAAUGCGUAGAGAUCUGCAAGAAUACCCGUGGCGAAGGCGGCCAGCUGGGCCGUAUCCGACGCUGAGGCGCGAAAGCGUGGGGAGCAAACAGG
RNAcentral lists this ribosomal RNA (253 nucleotides) under uncultured bacterium. RNAcentral describes it as "partial 16S ribosomal RNA". It matches the Rfam family "Bacterial small subunit ribosomal RNA", at positions 524 to 776 of the family's 1533-position model. The record is from RNAcentral.